UAAAUGAUUAGAUACCCCACUAUGCUUUGCCCUAAACAUUGAUAGUUUUUUACAACCACUAUCCGCCUGGGUACUACGAGCAGCAGCUUAAAACCCAAAGGACUUGGCGGUGCUUUAGACCCACCUAGAGGAGCCUGUUCUAAAACCGAUAACCCCCGUUCAACCUCACCUUUCCUUGUUCUCCCCGCCUAUAUACCGCCGUCGUCAGCUUACCCUAUGAAGGCCCUUCAGUAAGCACAAUUGGUACAACCCAAAACGUCAGGUCGAGGUGUAGCGUAUGGAAAGGGAAGAAAUGGGCUACAUUCCCUGUUAUAGUGAAUUACGAAUAAUACUACUGAAACGUAUAUCUAGAAGGAGGAUUUAGCAGUAAGCAGAAAAUAGAGCGUUCUACUGAAACCGGCCCUGAAGCGCGCACACACCGCCCGUCACCCCCUCA
RNAcentral lists this ribosomal RNA (436 nucleotides) under Mycteroperca prionura (sawtail grouper). Its description in RNAcentral is "partial 12S ribosomal RNA". It matches the Rfam family "Bacterial small subunit ribosomal RNA", at positions 769 to 1407 of the family's 1533-position model. The record is from RNAcentral. Lineage: Eukaryota; Metazoa; Chordata; Actinopteri; Perciformes; Serranidae.